AGUGAACGCUGGCGGUAGGCCUAACACAUGCAAGUCGAACGGCAGCACAGUAAGAGCUUGCUCUUACGGGUGGCGAGUGGCGGACGGGUGAGGAAUACAUCGGAAUCUACUUUUUCGUGGGGGAUAACGUAGGGAAACUUACGCUAAUACCGCAUACGACCUACGGGUGAAAUCAGGGGAUCUUCGGACCUUGCGCGAUUGAAUGAGCCGAUGUCGGAUUAGCUAGUUGGCGGGGUAAAGGCCCACCAAGGCGACGAUCCGUAGCUGGUCUGAGAGGAUGAUCAGCCACACUGGAACUGAGACACGGUCCAGACUCCUACGGGAGGCAGCAGUGGGGAAUAUUGGACAAUGGGCGCAAGCCUGAUCCAGCCAUACCGCGUGGGUGAAGAAGGCCUUCGGGUUGUAAAGCCCUUUUGUUGGGAAAGAAAAGCAGCAGGUUAAUACCCCGCUGUUCGGACGGUACCCAAAGAAUAAGCACCGGCUAACUUCGU
Molecule: ribosomal RNA, 491 nt
Filed under: uncultured bacterium
Lineage: Bacteria
Description: partial 16S ribosomal RNA
Rfam family: Bacterial small subunit ribosomal RNA
Source: RNAcentral